AACGCACGAGACCUGCGGACCUGCGGAGGGAUCAUUAAAAAAGACCCAUUUUUAAAAACCUACUACCAACUCUUACCCAUCGGGUCAGAUGGAAGUGGGUUUUUUUUCAAACUCCAAAAUUUUUAACUAUUCGUCUUGAUGACGAAAUUCAAAUUAAUAAAUAAAACUUUUAACAAUGGAUCUCU
RNAcentral lists this unclassified non-coding RNA (185 nucleotides) under soil metagenome. RNAcentral describes it as "partial contains 5.8S ribosomal RNA, internal transcribed spacer 2, and large subunit ribosomal RNA". The record is from RNAcentral.